RNAcentral lists this ribosomal RNA (468 nucleotides) under uncultured bacterium. RNAcentral's name for it is "partial 16S ribosomal RNA". It matches the Rfam family "Bacterial small subunit ribosomal RNA", at positions 28 to 507 of the family's 1533-position model. The record is from RNAcentral.
GACGAACGCUGGCGGCGUGCUUAACACAUGCAAGUCGAACGGAAAGGCCCUGCUUUUGUGGGGUGCUCGAGUGGCGAACGGGUGAGUAACACGUGAGUAACCUGCCCUUGACUUUGGGAUAACUUCAGGAAACUGGGGCUAAUACCGGAUAGGAGCUCCUGCUGCAUGGUGGGGGUUGGAAAGUUUCGGCGGUUGGGGAUGGACUCGCGGCUUAUCAGCUUGUUGGGGGGGUAGUGGCUUACCAAGGCUUUGACGGGUAGCCGGCCUGAGAGGGUGACCGGCCACAUUGGGACUGCGAUACGGCCCAGACUCCUACGGGAGGCAGCAGUGGGGAAUAUUGCACAAUGGGCGGAAGCCUGAUGCAGCAACGCCGCGUGCGGGAUGACGGCCUUCGGGUUGUAAACCGCUUUCGCAUGUGACGAAGCGUGAGUGACGGUAAUGGGUAAAGAAGCACCGGCUAACUACGUG